UCAUGCCCACUUUGACAGAAUGAACUAAAAUUGGCCCAAUACAGAGAAAAUUAUCAUAGAGCCUACAUAAGGAUGACACAGGUUUUUGAGGCAUUCCAUUUUGGU
This is a non-coding RNA of Canis lupus familiaris (dog), 105 nucleotides long. The record is from Rfam. NCBI's taxonomy places the organism in Eukaryota, Metazoa, Chordata, Mammalia, Carnivora, Canidae.